CCCGGAUACAGGUGGCCAAAAUGAGCUUUCUCCGCAGGGUGGCUGGGCGAUCCCUUAGAGAGAGGGUGAAAAGCUUGGUCACCCGGGAGGAGCUCAGAGUAGAGCCGCUGUUCCUCCACAUUGAGAAGGGUCAACUGAGGUGGCUUGGGCAUCUGUUCCGGAUGCCUCCUGAACGCCUUCCCGUCCCACCGGGAGGAGAUCCUGGGGAAGACCUAGGACACUGUUGAAAUCUAACGCUUCCCCGAGUUGGUUUGUUGGAAAGGAGAAUAACACACCAGGAGUCAGGUCAAUUACCGUACCGUAUAUUCCGUUUAUUACAAAAGCUUUUGGAGACAGAGUGUCGCCGCACAAUGUCUAAAGAUCAAUCACAGUCACAUCAGCAAUAUUUAUACUUCAAACAAGCCUAAAAGUGGGGGUUAAAUAUGCCAAGCAUGUGUGCCAUUGGUCCAGUUUAUGUUUUAUACCUUAUAUGUGUAAAUGCAGUACAAGCAUCAUCUUUGCACUUUGUGGUUUCGGUCUUGUCUAUUCUUAAUUCAGCCCUGCCCAGAAUAUGUGUGUGCGUUAUUAAUCUGCCCCCCUGUUUCCUGUAAUCUGACACACAAGCUCAGUCUCCUCUUGUUCCCCAGCAACAGCCUAAAUCAGUCUCAGCUUAUGCUACAGACAUUCAACAUUUUGCUUCAAUGCUCACAACAGUUUGACAGCUUAUUCACUCAAUGUAUCCACAAUUCCCCCUUUUGAUCUCUCCCCAGAGAGAUCACCCCUAUUCGCCAAGCUCCAGUUCUCCCAGGUCGAGCUGCUCCAGUAGAGGCAUCAGCAUCCCUGGUGGCGGUCCUGGAGCCUUCUCAAUGGCUAUAGAGAUCACCCACAUGUCCCGCAGUAUCCUGGGGUCCGCUCCUGGCACCGGUCCAGCUGGUUUUGGUCCUCCUUCCGUCCACACUGGGGCAAGCUCCUCCUUCCCGGUUUGGAUGAGCUCCCUGGCUCCUGCGCUGGUGUAUACUGGCUACAAUGGUACCACGUCUCUCCUUUGUCCCUCAGGCGGACCGCAUGGCUCGUUCUCUCCACCACCUGAUGAGGACCCGUCCACCUUGGCUCCGACCACUUUCGCUUGAUGACCUUCAGCAGCACCCACUCCGCCUGGGGCAGGUUCUGGUCCAACGGGUGCAGGUUCCUCCUUUCUCCGACUCUGUUGGUGAAUUCUGAAACGAGAGCUCGCAAUUCAUCAAAAUACACUCUGUGAUCUUUGGGCCAUUUCUCCCCUUCCGGGACCACAGGCCCCGCGGCUGGUCCUGGAAACUGUCUCCCUGUCAGCAGCUCAUAUGGGGUGAACCCAGUGGUCUGAUUUAACGAGCAUCGAAUAGUCAUGAGUGCCAGUGGCAGUGCAUCUACCCAGUUCAAUUUGGUCUGUGCACAUAUCUUAGCCAACUUGUUCUUUAUAUUUUGGUUAAUCCUUUCUACCCUUCCCUGGGACUGUGGGUGGUAUACAGUGCCAAAAGCAUGUUUUAGGCCCAAUAAGCUCUCUACCUUCUGUAAGUCACUGUUCUUAUAGUGAGUCCCGUUGUCUGACCUAAUUUUCUCUGGGCAGCCGUGUCUGGGAAUGUACUGUUUUAUUAAACACUUUAUCACUGUCUGACUGUCCUCCCUUCUUGCCGGCCAGGCUUCUGGCCACCCUGUGAACACAUCCACACACACUAACAUGUAACGGCACACCUGUACUGUUUCCACCAUGUCCGUGUAGUCUAUCACUAUCUCUUGUCCAGGUCUCUUCGUCAAGGGGAACGCCCCCAUCUCAGGUUUAAUUGUUGGUUUUGGAUUGUGGUGAGUGCAAAUGGUGCAUGUCCUAGUGUAGUUGCGUACCAUGCCUACCAUAAACGGAUGCCACCAGUGGCACAAGUUUCUUAACAUUUGAGCCGGCUCUACAUGGCCCAGCCCAUGGGCUUCUGCAAAUGUAUCUCCUCGCAUAGCUAGUGGAAGUAUUACUCUACCAUCUGGCCCUCUCCAGAGCCCUCGCAUUUCUGUUGCUCCUCUCUGUCGCCAAAUAGUUUUCUCUUGUGGGGAAGCCCCCUUUUGAUGUCUCACUAGCUUGUCUCUCUCAGGGCCUUCUCCCCACCCCACUUCCUCUUCUGGUCUUACCACCAUCACUUGUGAAGUGUACCCUGCUGCCUGUUUUGCUGCUGUGUCUGCCGCUUGGUUUCCCUGGGCCACUGCACAAUUUGAGUUAUUGUGUCCUUUGCAUUUUAUGAUUGCUACCUUUUCGGGCAGGUCCAGGGCCUCGGCUAGCUCUCUCAUCUCCGCCUCGUGUUAAACCGGUUUGUCCCCUGCUGUUCUAAACCCGGCUUUUAACCACUGUCCUAGCUCCACAUGCGCCGCACCUACCGCGUAUGCCGAAUCUGUGUAGAUGUUAACUCUCUUCCCCUUGGCCUGCCUGAGUGCCUCUAUCACUGCUCUCACUUCUGCUCUCUGGGCUGACUGCAGCCCCUGGAGCCUCUCUGCUUUCACUGUGACUAGAACCUCUGGUGUUAAUUUCACUACCGCAAAGGCCGCCCUCAGCCCAUCUUGUUCGUGUCUGAAACAGCACCCAUCUGUAAAGAGGUCCUCUGCCCCUUGGAGGGGUUCUUCCUCCAGAUCAGUUUGUGUCUUUCUCUCCCUCACUACCUCUUGCGCGCACUCAUGUGGCAGCCCCGUCCCCAUCCGGUCUGCCAUAUUUAUCCCCUCGUGUGUGAAAGUCAAAUUUGGAGCCCCAAGAAUUUUACUUAGGUGUUGUUGCCUGAGGGAAGUUAUGGUGAACAUCUGUGAUUUUACAUACGCCACUACACUGUGUGUUGUGAGUAUCUGAAGUUGAUGUCCCAUCACUAUGUGUGCGCAUUUUUAAAUGAGUUUCGCCACCCCCGUGGCAUGCUGUGUACAGUUGGGGUGCCUUUUUUCGAUUUUGUCAAAUCCUUCGCUUAGGUACAUGAGGAUAAUAAUAAUAAUAAUAAACCUUUAUUUAUAUAGCACCUUUCAUACAGGGAAUGCAGCUCAAAGUGCUUUACAUCAAUAGAGGUCAAUAAGCAGCAAUAAAGAGCAAUAAAAGCAAAACAGAGAGAAUAAAAAAAAUAUAUAAUAAUAAAAAGACAUGAAUAAAAACAUAGAGCACAUUUGCAGGCACAGAAAUUUAAAAAUGUUUUGCGAAGAGCAAAGAUUACCGGUUUAGUUGAAGGCUAGAGUGAAAAGAUAUGUUUUUAAUAGCUUUUUAAAUAUGUUUAUAGAUGAUGCCUCCUUUAUAUUUUCUGGUAUUUUGUUCCACAGCUUUGGGGCAUAGUUAAAAAAGGCAGCAUCACCAAUUUAUUUAUGAGUGGGAUUUGGAACCUUUAGCAAGUUAGCAGUCGAGGAUCUGAGGGCCCUUUGUGGAACAUAGGUUUUUAGAGAGUCUGUAAAGUAGGCUGGCCCCAAGCCGUUUAGAGUUUUAUAAACAAGCAAUAGGACCUUGAAAUCAAUCCUGUGGGAGACUGGGAGCCAAUGCAGUGAUUUCAAAACUGGAGUAAUGUGUUCUCGCCUCUUUGUUUUUGUUAAGAGUCUUGCUGCUGAGUUCUGGAUGAGUUGAAUCUUCCCUAAAGACUUUUUGGGGAGACCUGUAAGGAUGGCAUUGCAGUAGUCCAAUCUGGUUGUAAUAAAUGCGUGAAUUAGUUUCUCUGCAUCUUUUUGGGUUAUGAAUGGUCUUACUUUAGCAAUAUUUCUGAGGUGAAAGUAAGAGGUUUUGGUCACCUUGUUCAGAUGGGAGGUAAAAUGUAGGUCAGAAUCUAUGAUAAUACCUAGGCUCUUUACUUCAGGUUUGAUCAGUGAGGUCAGAUUACCAAGGCUUGUGCUGACUUUCUCCCUUUUGACUUUGGGCCCUACUAAGAGGAUUUCUGUUUUAUCUUCAUUUAGUUUUAGGAAAUUUGCGCUCAUCCAAUUAUUUAUUGCAAUUAGACACCUGGAUAGUGAGGCUAUUGUAUUUAGGUCAUCCGGCUCAACAGAAAUCUAUAGCUGUGUGUCAUCAGCAUAGCUGUGGAAAUUGACAUUGUAUUCUCUAAUGACAUCGCCUAGUGGUAGCAUGUAUAGUGAAAACAGUAGUGGAGCAAGACAGCUUCCUUGUGCCACACCACAUAUUGUGUCAUGUUCCUCAGAUAUAUGUUCACCAAGACUGACGGAGAACUUUCUGCCUGUGAUGUACGUUUGAAACCAUCUGAGGACACUUUCUGAGAGACCAACCCAGUUUUCAAGACGAUCCAUAAGGAUGUCGUGAUCAAUGGUGUCAAAUGCUGCACUCAAGUCUAGGAGGACUAGGACUGAGACCUUGUUUGCAUCUGCGCUAAGUCUUAGGUUGCUUACUAAUUUUGUCAAAGCUGUUUCUGUGCUGUGAUUCUCUCUAAAACCAGACUGAAACCUUUCCAGUAUGUUAUUAUCAUUUAGGAAUGUAUUUACUUGGUGAAAAACGACUUUCUCAAGCACCUUACUUAGAAAUGGUAUGUUUGAGAUUGGUCUAUAGUUGUUUAAUAUCUCAGAAUCUAAUUGUGGUUUCUUUAGAAGUGGUUGUACAACAGCAGUUUUGUAUGCAUUUGGAAAGACACCAGAUUCAAGGGAUUUGUUUAUAAUUGUUAGAACGGGGCAUGAGAUACUGUCAAAGACGUUUUUCAGAAAAGUGGUUGAGAUGGGGUCUAGAACGCACGUGGUUGAUUUGCUCUCCCUAACAAUCUUUUGUAGGUCAGAAGUGGCUAUGAUGUUGAAAGUCUUCAUGUGCUUUUUGCAAGUUUUGUUUGGGAAGUUUAUAUUUGUUUUAGUAAUACUGGCUCUAAUGACUUUGAUCUUGUCAUAGAAAAAAGUAGCAAACUCUUUGCAUUUAAUUACAGAGGUUUCGUUUGUCCUUUUACGGUUUGGGCCAGGGUUUAGCAAUUUGUCUAUGGUUGAAAAUAAUAUUCUGGGGUUAUUUCCACUUUCUGUAAUGAUCCUGGAGAAAUGUUUUUUCCUUGCGGCAUGUACAGUUUUAUUGUAGGUGUUUAGAGCUUUUUUAUAGAUAAUAUGAUGGAUCUCAAGUCCUGAUUUUCUCCAUUUCCUUUCAGCUGCCCGAUUUGCUCUUUUUAAUUUACGGACAGAGCUGUCCAUCCAUGGUGAUGUUUUUUCUCCUAAUCUCUUUCUAACUCGAAUUGGGGCUACUUUGUCUAGAGCAUUUGUCAGAUUGUUGUUUAGCUCAUUUACCAUGUCAUGUAUUGAGUUAUUUGUAUUCAAUUCAAAUCCACCUAAAAGUUGUGUAAAGUUUUGCUCUGCUGCUUCAUUGAGGUAUCGUUUUCGAACCACAUUUGUUUCCUUGCUUCUGAUUUUGGUUAGAUAUGCGUCAUAAAAUAUACAGUAGUGAUCUGAGAGGGAAACAUUUGUCACAGAGAGAUUCUCUAUAAGUAAUCCUUUUGUUAUCACUAAAUCUAAUGUAUUUCCAUGUAUAUGCGUUUGUUGUGAUACUUGUUGAGACAUGUCAAAGAUAUGUAGAAUGUUCAUAAAUUCUAUUGCAAACCUGUCCAAUUUGUUAUUUAUAUGUAUGUUAAGGUCUCCAUUUAUAAUAAUUUUAUCAUGUCUGGUGACAGCCAAUGAUAUUAGUUCUGAAAAUUCUGAGAGGAAAGCUGAAAGUUGCUUUGGUGGUCGGUAAAUAUUUAGCAUCAACACAGGUAUUUCUGCUUUGAGAAUGAAGGCUACAUACUCAAAACUUGAAAAUUCACCCAGGUCAACCUUUGUACAGCAGAAAUCUUCAUGAUGAAUAACAGCUGUUCCACCCCCCCUUCUGCCUUGUCUUACCGAGUGAAUAAAAUGAUAGUUUUUUGGACUUGCCUCAAUUAAGGUUGCAUUGCUAUUUUCAUCUAGCCAGGUUUCUGUUAGAAACAUGAAGUCAAGUUUAUGGUUAACAAUAAGAUCAUUAAUUAAAAAA
Long non-coding RNA from Esox lucius (northern pike), 5929 nucleotides. The record is from Ensembl. Lineage: Eukaryota; Metazoa; Chordata; Actinopteri; Esociformes; Esocidae.